RNAcentral lists this ribosomal RNA (498 nucleotides) under uncultured bacterium. RNAcentral's name for it is "partial 16S ribosomal RNA". It matches the Rfam family "Bacterial small subunit ribosomal RNA", at positions 30 to 523 of the family's 1533-position model. The record is from RNAcentral.
AUUGAACGCUGGCGGCAUGCUUUACACAUGCAAGUCGAACGGUAACAGGCCGCAAGGUGCUGACGAGUGGCGAACGGGUGAGUAAUGCAUCGGAACGUGCCCAGUCGUGGGGGAUAACGCAGCGAAAGCUGCGCUAAUACCGCAUACGAUCUAUGGAUGAAAGCGGGGGACCGUAAGGCCUCGCGCGAUUGGAGCGGCCGAUGUCAGAUUAGGUAGUUGGUGGGGUAAAGGCUCACCAAGCCAACGAUCUGUAGCUGGUCUGAGAGGACGACCAGCCGCACUGGGACUGAGACACGGCCGAGACUCCUACGGGAGGCAGCAGUGGGGAAUUUUGGACAAUGGGCGCAAGCCUGAUCCAGCAAUGCCGCGUGCAGGAAGAAGGCCUUCGGGUUGUAAACUGCUUUUGUACGGAACGAAACGGUCCUGGUUAAUACCUGGGGCUAAUGACGGUACCGUAAGAAUAAGCACCGGCUAACUACGUGCCAGCAGCCGCCGUAA